This 408-nucleotide ribosomal RNA is filed under the name uncultured microorganism. Its description in RNAcentral is "bacterial SSU rRNA". It matches the Rfam family "Archaeal small subunit ribosomal RNA", at positions 330 to 745 of the family's 1478-position model. The record is from RNAcentral.
GCGCAGCAGUCGAGAAUACUUUACAAUGUGCGAAAGCACGAUAAGGGAACUCUGAGUGCCUCCUAAGGAGGCUGUUCAGGUGUCUAAAAGCACCUGGAGUAAGGGCUGGGUAAGACCGGUGCCAGCCGCCGCGGUAACACCGGCAGCCCAGGUGGUAGCCACUUUUAUUGGGUCUAAAGCGUCCGUAGCCGGUUGAGUAAGUUCCUUGGGAAAUUUGGCUGCUCAACAGUCAAGCUUCCAGGGAAUACUGCUCGACUUGGGACUGGGAGAGGUCAGAGGUACUCCAGGGGUAGGGGUGGAAUCCAUUAAUCCCUGGGGGACCACCGGUAGCGAAGGCGUCUGACCAGACCAGGUCCGACGGUGAGGGACGAAGGCUAGGGUCGCGAACCGGAUUAGAUACCCUGUAGU